This 162-nucleotide ribosomal RNA is filed under the name Heracleum candicans. Its description in RNAcentral is "5.8S ribosomal RNA". It matches the Rfam family "5.8S ribosomal RNA". From Rfam's summary of the family: 5.8S ribosomal RNA (5.8S rRNA) is a component of the large subunit of the eukaryotic ribosome. It is transcribed by RNA polymerase I as part of the 45S precursor that also contains 18S and 28S rRNA. Lineage: Eukaryota; Viridiplantae; Streptophyta; Magnoliopsida; Apiales; Apiaceae. The record is from RNAcentral.
AACGACUCUUGACAACGGAUAUCUCGGCUCUCGCAUCGAUGAAGAACGUAGCGAAAUGCGAUACUUGGUGUGAAUUGCAGAAUCCCGUGAACCAUCGAGUYUUUGAACGCAAGUUGCGCCCGAAGCCAUUAGGCUGAGGGCACGUCUGCCUGGGUGUCACAC